ACUCCUACGGGAGGCAGCAGUGGGGAAUAUUGCACAAUGGGCGCAAGCCUGAUGCAGCCAUGCCGCGUGUAUGAAGAAGGCCUUCGGGUUGUAAAGUACUUUCAGCGGGGAGGAAGGCAAUACGGUUAAUAACCGUGUUGAUUGACGUUACCCGCAGAAGAAGCACCGGCUAACUCCGUGCCAGCAGCCGCGGUAAUACGGAGGGUGCAAGCGUUAAUCGGAAUUACUGGGCGUAAAGCGCACGCAGGCGGUCUGUCAAGUCGGAUGUGAAAUCCCCGGGCUCAACCUGGGAACUGCAUUCGAAACUGGCAGGCUUGAGUCUUGUAGAGGGGGGUAGAAUUCCAGGUGUAGCGGUGAAAUGCGUAGAGAUCUGGAGGAAUACCGGUGGCGAAGGCGGCCCCCUGGACAAAGACUGACGCUCAGGUGCGAAAGCGUGGGGAGCAAACAGGAUUAGAAACCCGUGUAGUCCC
RNAcentral lists this ribosomal RNA (470 nucleotides) under uncultured organism. RNAcentral describes it as "partial 16S ribosomal RNA". It matches the Rfam family "Bacterial small subunit ribosomal RNA", at positions 335 to 797 of the family's 1533-position model. The record is from RNAcentral.